Molecule: transfer RNA, 73 nt
Filed under: Felis catus (domestic cat)
Lineage: Eukaryota; Metazoa; Chordata; Mammalia; Carnivora; Felidae
Rfam family: tRNA
About the family: Transfer RNA (tRNA) molecules are approximately 80 nucleotides in length. Their secondary structure includes four short double-helical elements and three loops (D, anti-codon, and T loops). Further hydrogen bonds mediate the characteristic L-shaped molecular structure. tRNAs have two regions of fundamental functional importance: the anti-codon, which is responsible for specific mRNA codon recognition, and the 3' end, to which the tRNAs corresponding amino acid is attached (by aminoacyl-tRNA synthetases). tRNAs cope with the degeneracy of the genetic code in two manners: having more than one tRNA (with a specific anti-codon) for a particular amino acid; and 'wobble' base-pairing, i.e. permitting non-standard base-pairing at the 3rd anti-codon position.
Source: Rfam by way of RNAcentral
ACCUGGCUGGCUCAGUUGGUGGAGCACGUGACUCUUGAUCUCAGGGUUGUGAGUUUGAGCCCCGUGUUGGGUG